GCAGUCGACGGCAGCACGGACUUCGGUCUGGUGGCGAGUGGCGAACGGGUGAGUAAUAUAUCGGAACGUGCCCAGUCGUGGGGGAUAACGUAGUGAAAAUUACGCUAAUACCGCAUACGAUCUAAGGAUGAAAGCGGGGGAUCGCAAGACCUCGCGCGAUUGGAGCGGCCGAUAUCAGAUUAGGUAGUUGGUGAGGUAAAGGCUCACCAAGCCAACGAUCUGUAGCUGGUCUGAGAGGACGACCAGCCACACUGGAACUGAGACACGGUCCAGACUCCUACGGGAGGCAGCAGUGGGGAAUUUUGGACAAUGGACGCAAGUCUGAUCCAGCCAUUCCGCGUGCAGGACGAAGGCCUUCGGGUUGUAAACUGCUUUUGUACAGAACGAAAAGGUCUCUAUUAAUACUGGGGGCUCAUGACGGUACUGUAAGAAUAAGCACCGGCUAACUACGUGCCAGCAGCCGCGGUAAUACGUAGGGUGCAAGCGUUAAUCGGAAUUACUGGGCGUAAAGCGUGCGCAGGCGGUUAUAUAAGACAGAUGUGAAAUCCCCGGGCUCAACCUGGGAACUGCAUUUGUGACUGUAUAGCUGGAGUGCGGCAGAGGGGGAUGGAAUUCCGCGUGUAGCAGUGAAAUGCGUAGAUAUGCGGAGGAACACCGAUGGCGAAGGCAAUCCCCUGGACCUGUACUGACGCUCAUGCACGAAAGCGUGGGGAGCAAACAGGAUUAGAUACCCUGGUAGUCCACGCCCUAACGAUGUCAACU
Molecule: ribosomal RNA, 762 nt
Filed under: uncultured bacterium
Lineage: Bacteria
Description: bacterial SSU rRNA
Rfam family: Bacterial small subunit ribosomal RNA
Source: RNAcentral